CCUACGGUGGGCAGCAGUGAGGAAUAUUGGGCAAUGGGCGCGAGCCUGAACCAGCCAAGUAGCGUGAAGGAUGACUGCCCUACGGGUUGUAAACUUCUUUUAUAAAGGAAUAAAGUGAGGCACGUGUGCCGUUUUGUAUGUACUUUAUGAAUAAGGAUCGGCUAACUCCGUCCCAGCAGCCGCGGUACUACGGAGGAUACGAGCGUUAUCCGGAUUUGUUGGGUUUAAAGGGAGCGUAGAUGGGUUGUUAAGUCAGGUGUGAAAUUUUGCGGCUCAACCGUAAAAUUGCAAUUGAUACUGGCAGUCUUGAGUACAGUUGAGGUAGGCGGAAUUCGUGGUGUAGCGGUGAAAUGCUUAGAUAUCACGAAGAACUCCGAUUGCGAAGGCAGCUUACUAAACUGCCACUGACAUUGAUGCUCGAAAGUGUGGGUAUCAAACAGGAUUAGAUACCCUAGUAGUC
RNAcentral lists this ribosomal RNA (460 nucleotides) under uncultured bacterium. RNAcentral's name for it is "partial 16S ribosomal RNA". It matches the Rfam family "Bacterial small subunit ribosomal RNA", at positions 338 to 795 of the family's 1533-position model. The record is from RNAcentral.